Molecule: small nucleolar RNA, 133 nt
Organism: Artibeus jamaicensis (Jamaican fruit-eating bat)
Lineage: Eukaryota; Metazoa; Chordata; Mammalia; Chiroptera; Phyllostomidae
Product: small nucleolar RNA SNORA51
Exons: 1
Source: RefSeq, a predicted model, not a curated record
GGCCUCCUGGUACUUACCACAAGUUGUGCUCUUCCACUGACUGUGCAGAAAGAGGAGGCGGAGUAAACCCAUUGUAUAUACCCCACAGCCCAGGCCUUUUGCCUGGUCUGUUUUGUGAAUGGGGGUUGCAGGG